RNAcentral lists this ribosomal RNA (1137 nucleotides) under uncultured organism. Its description in RNAcentral is "bacterial SSU rRNA". It matches the Rfam family "Bacterial small subunit ribosomal RNA", at positions 220 to 1375 of the family's 1533-position model. The record is from RNAcentral.
AUAAGAUGGGCCCGCGUCCAAUUAGCUAGUUGGUGGGGUAGAGGCCUACCAAGGCGACGAUUGGUAGCCGAACUGAGAGGUUGAUCGGCCACAUUGGGGCUGAGACACGGCCCAGACUCCUACGGGAGGCAGCAGUGGGGAAUAUUGCGCAAUGGGGGGAACCCUGACGCAGCAACGCCGCGUGAAGGAUGAAGGUCUUCGGAUCGUAAACUUCUUUGAUUGGGGAAGAAGCAGUGACGGUACCCAAAGAACAAGCCACGGCUAACUACGUGCCAGCAGCCGCGGUAAUACGUAGGUGGCAAGCGUUGUCCGGAAUUACUGGGUGUAAAGGGCGUGUAGGCGGGGAUGCAAGUCAGAUGUGAAAAUCCGUGGCUCAACUGCGGAACUGCAUCUGAAACUGUAUCUCUUGAGUGCUGGAGAGGGAAGUGGAAUUCCUAGUGUAGCGGUGAAAUGCGUAGAGAUUAGGAAGAACACCAGUGGCGAAGGCGGCUUCCUGGACAGUAACUGACGCUGAGGCGCGAAAGCGUGGGGAGCGAACAGGAUUAGAUACCCUGGUAGUCCACGCCGUAAACGAUGGAUACUAGGUGUAGGAGGUAUCGACCCCUUCUGUGCCGGAGUUAACACAAUAAGUAUCCCACCUGGGGAGUACGGCCGCAAGGUUGAAACUCAAAGGAAUUGACGGGGGCCCGUACAAGCAGUGGAGUAUGUGGUUUAAUUCGAAGCAACGCGAAGAACCUUACCAGGGCUUGACAUCCUCUGACCGCUCUAGAGAUAGAGCUUUCCUUCGGGACAGAGAGACAGGUGGUGCAUGGUUGUCGUCAGCUCGUGUCGUGAGAUGUUGGGUUAAGUCCCGCAACGAGCGCAACCCCUGUUGUUAGUUGCCAGCAAGUAAAGUUGGGCACUCUAACGAGACUGCCGGUGCUAAUCGGAGGAAGGUGGGGAUGACGUCAAAUCAUCAUGCCCCUUAUGUCCUGGGCUACACACGUACUACAAUGGCUGUUACAGAGGGGAGCUAAGCCGCGAGGUGGAGCAAAUCCCAAAAGGCAGCCCCAGUUCGGAUUGCAGGCUGCAACCCGCCUGCAUGAAGUCGGAAUUGCUAGUAAUGGCAGGUCAGCACACUGCCGUGAAUACGUUCCC